This is a long non-coding RNA of Balaenoptera musculus (blue whale), 570 nucleotides long. RefSeq lists it as uncharacterized. Lineage: Eukaryota; Metazoa; Chordata; Mammalia; Artiodactyla; Balaenopteridae. The record is from RefSeq and is a predicted model, not a curated record. The transcript is spliced from 3 exons.
UUUGCUUUUUCACUGGCGCUGGUGUGUGUAGCUCAAAGUCUUGUACGGAGCAGGUUUACGUUAUUUAUGCAAACAAUCCUUGCUCUGCCUUGAGGGAACUAGAUGAUACUUCUUUUGAAAUGCAUGUUGGAAGCAUUUUCUACUUAAGAGAAGGAGGCGCAAAUACUUGUUAGACAACUUGGUAAUACGUAUUUCUCAACCCCAGCCUGCUCUUUUCUGUAACACUGAAUGGCUAGAAUUUGGCUGAACCAGUUUAGGUAUUGCAUAGGUUGGUUACAUUUCCUGAUCUUGGAGAAGUGGGUUUAUGCAGGAGAUGUCCUAUGGGGUCCAGCAGCACACACCCUUCUGGUCCCUUGAGCUAUGUGCUCUAGGAGUGCCCCCUAUGUGGGCUGCAUGUGCCCUUCUGAUGUGGUGGAGCCAACUACUAUGGACACACUGUUCUGGAGGCUGGGAAGUCCAGGAUCAAGGCUCCGGCAGAUUCACUGUCUGGUGAGACAGACAUGGAAGACAUUCACUUCCUGGUUUGUAGAUGGCCAUCUUCUUUUGCUGUAUCCUCACACAGAGAAAGAG